This 68-nucleotide transfer RNA is filed under the name Takydromus sexlineatus (Asian grass lizard). Its description in RNAcentral is "tRNA-Met". Lineage: Eukaryota; Metazoa; Chordata; Lepidosauria; Squamata; Lacertidae. The record is from RNAcentral.
AGUAAGGUCAGCUAAUUAAGCUCUUGGGCCCAUACCCCAAACAUGUUGGUUAAUUCCAACCUUUACUA